AGCGAACGCUGGCGGUAGGCUUAACACAUGCAAGUCGAGCGGGCAUCUUCGGAUGUCAGCGGCAGACGGGUGAGUAACACGUGGGAACGUACCCUUCGGUUCGGAACAACUCUGGGAAACUGGAGCUAAUACCGGAUACGCCCUUAUGGGGAAAGGUUUACUGCCGAAGGAUCGGCCCGCGUCUGAUUAGCUAGUUGGUGGGGUAACGGCCUACCAAGGCGACGAUCAGUAGCUGGUCUGAGAGGAUGAUCAGCCACACUGGGACUGAGACACGGCCCAGACUCCUACGGGAGGCAGCAGUGGGGAAUAUUGGACAAUGGGCGCAAGCCUGAUCCAGCCAUGCCGCGUGAGUGAUGAAGGCCUUAGGGUUGUAAAGCUCUUUUGUCCGGGACGAUAAUGACGGUACCGGAAGAAUAAGCCCCGGCUAACUUCGUG
This 435-nucleotide ribosomal RNA is filed under the name uncultured bacterium. RNAcentral describes it as "partial 16S ribosomal RNA". It matches the Rfam family "Bacterial small subunit ribosomal RNA", at positions 29 to 507 of the family's 1533-position model. The record is from RNAcentral.